This 404-nucleotide ribosomal RNA is filed under the name uncultured bacterium. RNAcentral's name for it is "bacterial SSU rRNA". It matches the Rfam family "Bacterial small subunit ribosomal RNA", at positions 355 to 776 of the family's 1533-position model. The record is from RNAcentral.
UGGGGAAUAUUGCACAAUGGGGGAAACCCUGAUGCAGCGACGCCGCGUGAGUGAAGAAGUAUUUCGGUAUGUAAAGCUCUAUCAGCAGGGAAGAAAAUGACGGUACCUGACCAAGAAGCCCCGGCUAACUACGUGCCAGCAGCCGCGGUAAUACGUAGGGGGCAAGCGUUAUCCGGAUUUACUGGGUGUAAAGGGAGCGUAGACGGCUGAGCAAGUCAGAAGUGAAAGCCCGGGGCUCAACCCCGGGACUGCUUUUGAAACUGCGGAGCUGGAGUGCAGGAGAGGUAAGCGGAAUUCCUGGUGUAGCGGUGAAAUGCGUAGAUAUCAGGAGGAACACCAGUGGCGAAGGCGGCUUACUGGACUGUAACUGACGUUGAGGCUCGAAAGCGUGGGGAGCAAACAGG